GACGAACGCUGGCGGCGUGCUUAACACAUGCAAGUCGAACGGAAAGGCCCUGCUUGCAGGGUCCUCGAGUGGCGAACGGGUGAGUAACACGUGGGUGAUCUGCCCUGCACUUCGGGAUAAGCCUGGGAAACUGGGUCUAAUACCGGAUAGGAGCCAUUUUUAGUGUGAUGGUUGGAAAGUUUUUUCGGUGUAGGAUGAGCUCGCGGCCUAUCAGCUUGUUGGUGGGGUAAUGGCCUACGAAGGCGGCGCCGGGUAGCCGGCGCGGGAGGGUGGACGGCCACAGUGAGACUGAGAUACGGCCCAGACUCCGACGGGAGGGAGAAGCAGGGAUGAGUGAUCUAGGGGCGUAAGCGUGAGGCUGCUCCGCCGCUGGGGGGAUGACGGCCAUGGGGUUGUAAACGUCAUUCGCUAGGGACGAAGCUGUUUGUGACGGUACCUAGAGAAGAAGCACCGGCUAACUACGUG
This 465-nucleotide ribosomal RNA is filed under the name uncultured bacterium. Its description in RNAcentral is "partial 16S ribosomal RNA". It matches the Rfam family "Bacterial small subunit ribosomal RNA", at positions 28 to 507 of the family's 1533-position model. The record is from RNAcentral.